GGCCCUCCUCCUGCUGGCACCCAGCAGCACCCAGGCUCUGAGCAGCUCCUGGUGGAAGGACCUGGCCACGGAGCAGGAUUUGGCUGAGGAAAGCAUCCUGGGCAUAGGAGCACCAGAGGAGGGUGAACCAGGUAUAAAGGUCUUCUCCAGCAGUGCCUGGGCUCGGAGGGGCCCACCCCAAGGCCAGGCAAGACCAGAAGGGGAUCGUGACCACCUGUACCACCCCCAAGAGGAUGCCAGGGAGGCCAGUGCCCGUGUGCCAUUCUGGAUGCCGGCCCCGAAGGUGCAGAAUGGCCCGGAGGAGGAUCGUGACCACCUGUACCACCCCCAGGAUGAUGCCAGGGAGGUCAAUGCCCGUGUGCCAUUCUGGAUGAUGGCCCCAAAGGUGCAGAAUGGCCCGGAGGAGGAUCGUGACUACAUCCACCACAGCUGAGUGGAGAUGCGCCCAGGCUGUGAAAUGAGGGGUGGGAGCUGCCCCUGGGGUUUCCUGGGGAAAUUUGUCUCUCCCUACUGAGCCUCGAGCCUCACCAAUAAACCCACUCCCCUCUCCACGUCCUGCUGGGCUCCUCAUUGCUGCCAGAAACCUGCUGCUAAUGGCAGGGCCUCCAAACCUGCAGGAACUCCCUCAGGAUUACCCCAAGGCACCAGGCAGGCUGAGGAUGAUGCCCUGGGGCAGGAGACUCAGCCCAUCAUCCCAGCCUCAGUUCAGCCCAGGUGAGGCUGAGGCAAACUCAGGACAUCGGUGUUGUGCCUCAGAAGGUGCCACAGGCUGUCCCCUUC
Molecule: long non-coding RNA, 780 nt
Organism: Motacilla alba alba
Lineage: Eukaryota; Metazoa; Chordata; Aves; Passeriformes; Motacillidae
Exons: 3
Source: RefSeq, a predicted model, not a curated record